This 2920-nucleotide ribosomal RNA is filed under the name Lactiplantibacillus plantarum DOMLa. Its description in RNAcentral is "bacterial LSU rRNA". It matches the Rfam family "Bacterial large subunit ribosomal RNA". The record is from RNAcentral. Lineage: Bacteria; Bacillati; Bacillota; Bacilli; Lactobacillales; Lactobacillaceae.
UUAAGUUAACAAGGGCGCAUGGUGAAUGCCUUGGCACUAGGAGCCGAUGAAGGACGGGACUAACACCGAUAUGCUUCGGGGAGCUGUACGUAAGCUAUGAUCCGGAGAUUUCCGAAUGGGGCAACCCAGCAGUUUUAAUCAACUGUUACCACUAGAUGAAUUCAUAGUCUAGUUGGAGGUAAACGCUGUGAACUGAAACAUCUCAUUAGCAGCAGGAAUAUAAAGAAAUUUCGAUUCCCUAAGUAGCGGCGAGCGAACGGGGAACAGCCCAAACCAAAGUGCUUGCACUUUGGGGUUGUAGGACUGAACAUUUGAGUUACCAAAGAACUUGAUAGUCGAAGGAUUUGGGAAAAUCCGCCAUAGAUGGUGAUAGCCCAGUAGAUUAAAUCAAAUUCUCUCAGUUCAGGAUCCUGAGUACGGCGGAACACGUGAAAUUCCGUCGGAAUCCGGGAGGACCAUCUCCCAAGGCUAAAUACUACCUAGUGACCGAUAGUGAACCAGUACCGUGAGGGAAAGGUGAAAAGCACCCCGGGAGGGGAGUGAAAUAGUUCCUGAAACCAUGUGCCUACAAUAAGUCAGAGCGCGUUAAUGCGUGAUGGCGUGCCUUUUGUAGAAUGAACCGGCGAGUUAUGAUCCCGUGCAAGGUUAAGACUAAAAAGUCGGAGCCGUAGCGAAAGCGAGUCUGAAAUGGGCGUUUUGAGUACGAGGUUAUAGACCCGAAACCAGGUGACCUAUCCAUGUCCAGGUUGAAGGUGCGGUAAAACGCACUGGAGGACCGAACCCGUGUAAGUUGAAAAUUGCUGGGAUGAGGUGUGGAUAGCGGUGAAAUUCCAAACGAACUUGGAGAUAGCUGGUUCUCUCCGAAAUAGCUUUAGGGCUAGCCUCGGAAUUAGGAUCAUGGAGGUAGAGCACUAUUUGGACUAGGGGCCCGUCUUGGGUUACUGAAUUCAGAUAAACUCCGAAUGCCAUUGAUUCAUAUCCGGGAGUCAGACGAUGAGUGAUAAGAUCCACCGUCGAAAGGGGAACAGCCCAGACCAUCAGUUAAGGUCCCUAAAUGUAUGCUAAGUGGAAAAGGAUGUGGAGUUGCAUAGACAACUAGGAUGUUGGCUCAGAAGCAGCCACCAUUUAAAGAGUGCGUAAUAGCUCACUAGUCGAGUGAUCCUGCGCCGAAAAUGUACCGGGGCUAAGCAUACUACCGAAACCAUGGAUGCGACCAUUAGGUCGCGUGAUAGGAGAGCGUUCUAAGGGCGGUGAAGCAAGAUCGUGAGGACUUGUGGAGCGCUUAGAAGUGAGAAUGCCGGUAUGAGUAGCGAAAGAUAGGUGAGAAUCCUAUCCACCGAAUGACUAAGGUUUCCUGGGGAAGGCUCGUCCUCCCAGGGUUAGUCGGGACCUAAGUCGAGGCCGAGAGGCGUAGACGAUGGAUAACAGGUUGAGAUUCCUGUACUAGUUAAGUGCGUUUGAGCAAUGGAGGGACGCAGGAGGCUAAGAUGUGCAUUCUGUUGGAUUAGAAUGUCCAAGCAGUAAGUCUUGUGGAGAGUCAAAUGCUUUUCACUUUAAGGACAAGCUGUGAUGGGGAGCGAAAUUUAGUAGCGAAGCGUCUGAUGUCACACUGCCGAGAAAAGCUUCUAGUGAGUACUUAACUACCCGUACCGCAAACCGACACAGGUAGUCGAGGAGAGAAUCCUAAGGUGAGCGAGUGAACUCUCGUUAAGGAACUCGGCAAAAUGACCCCGUAACUUCGGGAGAAGGGGUGCUGAUCGCAAGAUCAGCCGCAGUGAAUAGGCCCAGGCGACUGUUUAUCAAAAACACAGGUCUCUGCAAAAUCGUAAGAUGACGUAUAGGGGCUGACGCCUGCCCGGUGCUGGAAGGUUAAAAGGAUGGGUUAGCUUCGGCGAAGCUCAGAAUUGAAGCCCCAGUAAACGGCGGCCGUAACUAUAACGGUCCUAAGGUAGCGAAAUUCCUUGUCGGGUAAGUUCCGACCCGCACGAAAGGCGUAACGAUCUGGGCACUGUCUCAACGAGAGACUCGGUGAAAUUAUAUUGUCCGUGAAGAUGCGGACUACCCGCGACAGGACGGAAAGACCCCAUGGAGCUUUACUGUAGCUUGAUAUUGAGUGUUUGUACAGCUUGUACAGGAUAGGUAGGAGCCAUAGAAACCGGAACGCUAGUUUCGGUGGAGGCGUUGGUGGGAUACUACCCUCGCUGUAUGACCACUCUAACCCGCACCACUAAUCGUGGUGGGAGACAGUGUCAGGUGGGCAGUUUGACUGGGGCGGUCGCCUCCUAAAAAGUAACGGAGGCGCCCAAAGGUUCCCUCAGAAUGGUUGGAAAUCAUUCGCAGAGUGUAAAGGCACAAGGGAGCUUGACUGCGAGACAGACAGGUCGAGCAGGGACGAAAGUCGGGCUUAGUGAUCCGGUGGUACCGUAUGGAAGGGCCAUCGCUCAACGGAUAAAAGCUACCCUGGGGAUAACAGGCUUAUCUCCCCCAAGAGUCCACAUCGACGGGGAGGUUUGGCACCUCGAUGUCGGCUCAUCGCAUCCUGGGGCUGUAGUCGGUCCCAAGGGUUGGGCUGUUCGCCCAUUAAAGCGGUACGCGAGCUGGGUUCAGAACGUCGUGAGACAGUUCGGUCCCUAUCCGUCGCGGGCGUAGGAAAUUUGAGAGGACCUGUCCUUAGUACGAGAGGACCGGGAUGGACAUACCUCUGGUGUACCAGUUGUGCCGCCAGGCGCAUCGCUGGGUAGCUACGUAUGGAUGUGAUAAACGCUGAAAGCAUCUAAGUGUGAAACACACCUCGAGAUGAGAUUUCCCAUUCCUUUAUGGAAGUAAGACCCCUGAAAGAUGAUCAGGUAGAUAGGUUAGAAGUGGCAGUGCGGUGACGCAUGAAGCGGACUAAUACUAAUCGGUCGAGGACUUAACCAAG